UACAGAGGGGGCAAGCGUUAUUCGGAAUUAUUGGGCGUAAAGGGCGCGUAGGCGGCUUUGCAAGUGACGGGUGAAAGCCCUCGGCUUAACCGAGGAACUGCCUGUCAGACUGUAAGGCUUGAGACCGGGAGAGGUGAGUGGAAUUCCCAGUGUAGCGGUGAAAUGCGUAGAUAUUGGGAAGAACACCGGUGGCGAAGGCGGCGAGCUGGCCUGUUACUGACGCUGAGGCGCGACAGCGUGGGGAGCAAACAGG
Molecule: ribosomal RNA, 253 nt
Filed under: uncultured bacterium
Lineage: Bacteria
Description: partial 16S ribosomal RNA
Rfam family: Bacterial small subunit ribosomal RNA
Source: RNAcentral